CCUACGGGAGGCAGCAGUGAGGAAUAUUGGUCAAUGGACGAGAGUCUGAACCAGCCAAGUAGCGUGAAGGAUGACUGCCCUAUGGGUUGUAAACUUCUUUUAUAAAGGAAUAAAACGAGGCACGUGUGCCUUUUUGCAUGUACUUUAUGAAUAAGGAUCGACUAACUCCGUGCCAGCAGCCGCGGUAAUACGGAGGAUCCGAGCGUUAUCCGGAUUUAUUGGGUUUAAAGGGAGCGUAGAUGGGUUGUUAAGUCAGUUGUGAAAGUUUGCGGCUCAACCGUAAAAUUGCAAUUGAUACUGGCAGUCUUGAGUACAGUUGAGGUAAGCGGAAUUCGUGGUGUAGCGGUGAAAUGCUUAGAUAUCACGAAGAACCCCGAUUGCGAAGGCAGCUUACUAAACUGUGACUGACAUUGAUGCUCGAAAGUGUGGGUAGCAAACAGGAUUAGAUACCCUAGUAGUC
This 460-nucleotide ribosomal RNA is filed under the name uncultured bacterium. RNAcentral's name for it is "partial 16S ribosomal RNA". It matches the Rfam family "Bacterial small subunit ribosomal RNA", at positions 338 to 795 of the family's 1533-position model. The record is from RNAcentral.